GUAAGGAAUAUUGGUCAAUGGAGGGAACUCUGAACCAGCCAUGCCGCGUGCAGGACGACUGCCCUAUGGGUUGUAAACUGCUUUUGUACGGGAAUAAACACUGGUACGUGUACCAGCUUGAAUGUACCGUAAGAAUAAGGAUCGGCUAACUCCGUGCCAGCAGCCGCGGUAAUACGGAGGAUCCGAGCGUUAUCCGGAUUUAUUGGGUUUAAAGGGUGCGUAGGCGGCUUAUUAAGUCAGGGGUGAAAGACGGCAGCUCAACUGUCGCAGUGCCUUUGAUACUGAUGAGCUUGAAUGUGAUUGAAGAUGGCGGAAUGAGACAAGUAGCGGUGAAAUGCAUAGAUAUGUCUCAGAACUCCAAUUGCGAAGGCAGCUAUCUAAGUCAUGAUUGACGCUGAUGCACGAAAGCGUGGGGAUCGAACAGGAUUAGAUACCCUUGUAGUCC
This 445-nucleotide ribosomal RNA is filed under the name uncultured bacterium. Its description in RNAcentral is "partial 16S ribosomal RNA". It matches the Rfam family "Bacterial small subunit ribosomal RNA", at positions 354 to 796 of the family's 1533-position model. The record is from RNAcentral.